UGGUUAAAAGCCGUAAACGGCCGCCCUAGCGGUGAGGGUGCUAAGGUAGCGAAAUUCCUUGCCUUUUAAUUGUAGGCCUGCAUGAAUGGCUUGACGAGGGCUUGACUGUCUCUAGUUUUGGAAUCUAAAUUGGAUUAAAGGUGAAGAUACCUUUAUAUAAAAGUUAGACAAGAAGACCCCGUGCAACUUUUAAAGUCAGCUUAUUAAGAAGUUCAAGAUUUUUAGGUGGGGCGCCUACUGAGUAAUAAUAACCUCUGUGUAAUAGUGAAACUUUCAAGUGUAGACCCGGCAAUGCCGAUCAUAGGAGAAGUUACGCCGGGGAUAACAGGCUAAUUCACUAGUAGAGAACGUAUUGGCUAGUGAGAUUGGCACCUCGAUGUUGAAUCAGGGAUGAUACCUUUAAGGCGUAGAAGCUUUAA
Molecule: ribosomal RNA, 419 nt
Filed under: Ostrea oleomargarita
Lineage: Eukaryota; Metazoa; Mollusca; Bivalvia; Ostreida; Ostreidae
Description: Ostrea sp. o MG-2022 partial large subunit ribosomal RNA
Rfam family: Bacterial large subunit ribosomal RNA
Source: RNAcentral